Molecule: ribosomal RNA, 510 nt
Filed under: uncultured bacterium
Lineage: Bacteria
Description: bacterial SSU rRNA
Rfam family: Bacterial small subunit ribosomal RNA
Source: RNAcentral
AAUGAACGCUGGCGGCGUGCCUAACACAUGCAAGUCGGAUGUGCCGCAAGGUGCAUGGCAGACGGGUGAGUAACGCGUGGGGAACCUACCUCUUCGUGGGGAAUAACGAUCCGAAAGGAUUGGUAAUACCGCAUGAGACCGACGGCUGGGAUGCUGUCGGUGAAAGCUGGGGACCGGAAACGGCCUGGCGCGAGGAGAGGGUCCUGCGUCUGAUUAGCUAGUUGGUGGGGUAACGGCCUACCAAGGCAUCGAUCAGUAGCCGGCCUGAGAGGGUGAUCGGCCACACUGGAACUGAGACACGGUCCAGACUCCUACGGGAGGCAGCAGUGGGGAAUUUUGCGCAAUGGACGAAAGUCUGACGCAGCAACGCCGCGUGGGUGAUGAAGGUCUUCGGAUUGUAAAACCCUAGUCGUCGGGGGACGAAGGUAGGGGGGUUAAGUAGGACCCUUUUGGCUUGACGGUACCCGGAGAGGAAGCCCGGCGUAACUCUGUGCCAGCAGCCGCGGUAAU